GGCCGGCUCGGGCGGUUCGGGCGUGGUCGGAACUGGGCCGGUUCGGCCCAUUUGGCCGGACCGGUCCGGUUUUCCUUUUUUUUUCUUUUCUUUUUUCCUUUUUCUGAUUUCUUUGAUAUCUUUUGAUUUUGAACUCCAAAUUGGUCCAAAUAAAUUUCAGAAAAUUUGUAAAAUCGUCUAAUCCUGAUUCAACUUUUGGGACUAAUUUCCCCUCAAAAUAAAAUAUAUAAAAUACAUUUGCCCUAUAUAUUCCUUUAGGGCUAUAUAAAUAUUUAAAUAAAAUAGUUUUUCAACUCCAAAUAAUUAUCCAAAAAUUAUGGGAUAGCCUAUUUAUGCAAUAAACCCCUUAUAUAGCUAAACCCUAUUGGUUUGAAGAUCCAAAGCUCAAAUGGGUGAAACCCUAAGGUUUAAAUUGAAAUAAAACUUUUAAAAGCCUUUUUGAGAUUCAAAUUCGAAUUCAAAAAUGCAAUUGUGGCAUGAUGCUCAUGAGUGCAAUGCAUAUGAAAAGUUUUGGAAUUUUGGGAUGUUACAGACCUAACCCCCUUAAGAUGAAUCUCGUCCUCGAGAUUUGGUUUGGCUAGCAAAGAGGUGCGGGUGGUCUUCUCGAAGAUCAUCUUCGCGUUCCCAUGUGGCUUCCUCUUCAGUGUGAUGGUCCCUCUGAACUUUGCAAAACUUGAUGGUCUUGGGUCGGGUAUGUCUCUCAGUUGUAUCCAAGAUUCUUAUCGGUUUCUCCUCAUAGGUGAGGUCACUCUGCAGCUGGACUUCCUCUAACGGUAUCGUGUCCUUCAGUGGUGUGUCGGCCAUCUCAGGAUCACACUUCUUCAGUUGCGAUACGUGGAAGACGUUGUGGACAUUGGACAGUGCUUCCGGUAAAUCCAACUUGUAGGCUACCUCUCCUUGCCGUGACAAGAUCUUGAAGGGUCCAAUGAAACGAGGUACUAACUUUCCUUUGAUUCCAAAUCUCUUUACCCCACGUAUCGGCGAAACUUUGAGAUACG
RNAcentral lists this long non-coding RNA (998 nucleotides) under Brachypodium distachyon (stiff brome). Its description in RNAcentral is "long non-coding RNA (BDIS_LNC004404)". The record is from RNAcentral. Lineage: Eukaryota; Viridiplantae; Streptophyta; Magnoliopsida; Poales; Poaceae.